This 240-nucleotide unclassified non-coding RNA is filed under the name soil metagenome. Its description in RNAcentral is "partial contains 5.8S ribosomal RNA, internal transcribed spacer 2, and large subunit ribosomal RNA". The record is from RNAcentral.
AACAAGGCGUACCUGCGGACCUGCGGAAGGAUCAUUAUCCAUCCAAAACCAGCUGCGGUCGCGGCCCCACGCUUACCCGUGGCGGUACGCGCCGCACGUCUGCACCCUUUUUUUACGAGUACCUUCGUUCUCCCUCGGCAGGGCAACCUGCCGUUGGAACCAUACAAAACCUUUUUUUGCAUCUAGCAUUACCUGUUCUGAUACAAACAAUCGUUACAACUUUUAGCAACGGAUCUCAGA